AGCAAAUCCGUUAUCCGCAAAGUUCUGUCCAGUUGUCUUAGAACAAUAGUUGCAGAUAUUGUACCAGAGUUUAUCUAUGGAUUGAUAUCGAGGAAGCUUUUUGAGUUAGAUUUGUAGACCAUGGUGUACAAGGUGGAAUCUUCUCUCAAUCAUGAUGGAGGGGUGCAUGCAUGUGGGGCUGGACAAGGUGAACAACAUGGUGGUGUACAAUACAGGUAACAUGGACAUGACUUCCAUACUUUUCGUGCAGGUAACAUGCAGUGAAGGCUUUCACCAGAG
Long non-coding RNA from Lolium rigidum, 279 nucleotides. RefSeq lists it as uncharacterized. NCBI's taxonomy places the organism in Eukaryota, Viridiplantae, Streptophyta, Magnoliopsida, Poales, Poaceae. The record is from RefSeq and is a predicted model, not a curated record. The transcript is spliced from 4 exons.